This 253-nucleotide ribosomal RNA is filed under the name uncultured bacterium. RNAcentral's name for it is "partial 16S ribosomal RNA". It matches the Rfam family "Bacterial small subunit ribosomal RNA", at positions 524 to 776 of the family's 1533-position model. The record is from RNAcentral.
UACGUAGGGAGCAAGCGUUGUCCGGAAUCAUUGGGCGUAAAGCGCGCGUAGGUGGCCCCAUAAGUCCGCUGUGAAAGUCAAAGGCUCAACCUUUGAAAGCCGGUGGAUACUGUGGGACUAGAGUACGGAAGAGGCGAGUGGAAUUCCUGGUGUAGCAGUGGAAUGCGCAGAUAUCAGGAGGAACACCAAUAGCGAAGGCAGCUCGCUGGGACGUUACUGACACUGAGGCGCGAAAGCGUGGGGAGCGAACAGG